UCUGCUGAUGGGGAUGAAAGGCAUUUGA
This 28-nucleotide non-coding RNA is filed under the name Homo sapiens (human). Lineage: Eukaryota; Metazoa; Chordata; Mammalia; Primates; Hominidae. The record is from RNAcentral.